Thunnus maccoyii (southern bluefin tuna) is the source of this 297-nucleotide long non-coding RNA. RefSeq lists it as uncharacterized. The record is from RefSeq and is a predicted model, not a curated record. The transcript has 3 exons. Lineage: Eukaryota; Metazoa; Chordata; Actinopteri; Scombriformes; Scombridae.
CUUCAACUGACACAUUUCUCCAUAAGUGCCGCUUUGUCCUGUGGACAUUAACAACGUACACAGAGUGGUACACAGGAAACCACGUACAGAUUGCCCGAGUCCUAAAAUAACCUGUGCAGCUCAGAGGAUUUUACUAAUGCCAUUACAUUACUACUGAGCCAGCAGGAGGACACUGAGGGGUUUGGACAUGAGGAGCGAGGACACUUCAGCAUGAUGCAGCGUUUCUUUCAGCUUUUGGAACUUCUUGAGGUCAGCACAGAACAACACCUAAAGCAGGGAAAGACAAUCUGUGGUUAU